AUCUUUCUAGUACUAAACAACAGUAUGAGUGACUUCCAAUCACCCGGUCUUGGUUAAAGCCCAAGGAAAGAUA
Molecule: transfer RNA, 73 nt
Filed under: Nectoliparis pelagicus (tadpole snailfish)
Lineage: Eukaryota; Metazoa; Chordata; Actinopteri; Perciformes; Liparidae
Description: tRNA-Gly
Source: RNAcentral